UACAGAGGUCUCAAGCGUUGUUCGGAUUCAUUGGGCGUAAAGGGUGCGUAGGUGGCGGGGCAAGUCAGGUGUGAAAUCUCGGGGCUCAACCCCGAAACUGCACUUGAUACUGCCUGGCUGGAGUACUGGAGAGGAGAUUGGAAUUUACGGUGUAGCAGUGAAAUGCGUAGAUAUCGUAAGGAAGACCAGUGGCGAAGGCGGGUCUCUGGACAGUUCCUGACACUGAGGCACGAAGGCCAGGGGAGCAAACGGG
This 253-nucleotide ribosomal RNA is filed under the name uncultured bacterium. RNAcentral describes it as "partial 16S ribosomal RNA". It matches the Rfam family "Bacterial small subunit ribosomal RNA", at positions 524 to 776 of the family's 1533-position model. The record is from RNAcentral.